GCCAAGGUUGGCCUCAAACUUGUGAUCUUCCUGCCGGGUUCCUGAGUAGCUGGAAUUACAGUUCUGCACCCCUCCCCCCCCCCAGGUGACUGUUCCCUGACUCAGAGUGAAUCCUCCUACUGCUUCCUGCUCAGCUGAAUCAACACUUCCGGAGGUUGUGACUAAGAGAAGCCACAGCCCAUGGUUAUACUUGACUUUUGAAAAUCCUGGUUCUUUAAGGACAUAAUUACAAGGACCCAUGCUUAUAGAAUAAGGCAAUGACUUCUUCCAACCCAGCCAAAGAUGGAAGGUGAUGCUUCCAAAGAUGGAAGAUGAAUCAGCAGGGCUCUCUCCCAGGACAGCAGAUGCACCUGGAGGUAGAGCAUGGCCCUGAGAAUAAAACACUACUGGAGGAGAUAUUUCAUUAAAUGAAGGAAUAAACUGAGAAGGAUAAUGCCACCCCAAACAGAAGAGAGAUGAAGGGAAUUCCCAGGCUGGUUGCAAAGAGACAAUCCAGAAUGACAGCAGAGAAGCACAUCAAGAGAGACACGAAUUCAGAUUGGCACAAGAUGCUUAAGGAGGCAAAGUAGGAAGUUCCAAAACGUAAUGAAGCUGACAUUUUAUCAGAUACAUUGAAGGUUUUGAGUAUUUAUAGUUCUAUUUGAAAGUCUGGAUAAAAAUAAGAGAUAGGUUUAUGCAGGAAACUGAUAAAAUAAGAAACUAUUAAAAACUCUAGGGACAAACAAAAAUUAAGCAAGCAAAGAAAUAUAUUACCCUACAUAUUCAGCUGCAAGUAAUAGUUAUAAAAUCUUAUAAUAUUUUAAGUAGGGAAAUAUUUAAAUCAUAAUUAUAAAAUUAAUGGGAUUAGAUACUAGAGUAGGUGAAGUGUGUGUGUGUGUGUGUGUGUGUGUGUGUGUGUGUAGUAUAAGAAUAUAAAUACUCAUUUUUCUUUAGGGAAACUCAAUAGAUAAUAUUUAAGGCGAAAACACCAUAAGUACCUAUUUAGAAACAAGGUGAUAACCACUAGAAUAAUAACUAUGAAGUGGAAAACUAGUGUCUUUCACUUCAGAAUUAAUGUGAACAUUUACUAAUUUCCCUAGCAAGUAGAACUUUUAAAAAGGCAGCAUUUGGAAUUUUGAUUAUUUUUUUUAAAAAAUUUUUUGUUGAAUUAUUUGAAUUUUAAAAUUUCUGUUCAGCAUCCAGUUUUUGACCCAUCAAGGCAGAAGUUUGGAAUUCAUCACUGUGUCCUAACAAGUAAAAAAUUUAACAAAUUAAAAAUUAAUAGCUGGUCUUAGAUCCGUAAAGGAAGUGAGGUAGGUCAGAGUUUGCCUCACAAACAUUUGUAGGAACAGAACUGAGGCAGAAAAAGUGAACUGUAAUUGAGGAAUUGCUAGAGGGUUAGUGUGGACAAAUCUGAGAUAAAACCUCCGGGAGAACUCAGUCAUCGGGGAUCCUGCUCUAUGAGUUUUACCUCCUGGCAUUCUACCAGACUCUCAUAGUGAAUGUCAGAGAAAUAUCCCCUCAUGCUUCCAGCAGAGGAGGAUAAAAUGGCUAAUUUUGAAAUGUACCUGAGCAUUCUGUUCUUAACAGGAGAAACUUAGUUUCAGGAGAAACUAAAUAGUGCCUAAAGUGCUGGGGUUUUAUCAGAGCCUAAGUGAGCUGAAGCCCAGCUCUAGCUGACUUUAGCUAUACUGUCUCACCCAAGGGUGAAAAAAUGGUGAAGACCUUGUCAAGUUCAGAGGCUCACCAAAAGACUGAAACCUAAUAAUCCUGGGACUACAGAAGCUUCACCCUUCUCCCUACCUAACUUACCACAUUAUUAAGGGCCUGUUUACAGAAGUUUCUUCCAUCUAGUAAGUUGUGUCUGCUCUCACCAAAAAUUUUCAAGACACACUAAAACAGAAAACAAAGUUUGAAGAGACAGAGCCAUCAUCAGAACCAGUGUAGUUGGAAUUUUUACAUAAGACAUUUAAAACAACUGUGAAUAAAGUAGUAAAAGCUCUGAUGGAUAAAGUCAACAGAAUGCAAGAAAUGGGCAGUAGAAGCAGAGAGAUGGGAACCCUAAGAAGGAACCUAAAAGAAAUAGCAUUUGAUCUCUAGCAGAGAUCAAAAGCCCUAUAAUAGAAAUGAUGAAUGCCUUUGAUGGACUGAUUAGUAGACUGGACAAGGCUGAGAAAGGUCUCUGAGCUUGAGUAUAUAGCAAUAGAAACUUCCAGACUGAAAAGAGGAAAAGACUGAAAAAAAAAAAAGAAGAAUGCAAUAUCCAAUAAAUCUGGGA
This is a non-coding RNA of Ictidomys tridecemlineatus (thirteen-lined ground squirrel), 2257 nucleotides long. NCBI's taxonomy places the organism in Eukaryota, Metazoa, Chordata, Mammalia, Rodentia, Sciuridae. The record is from RefSeq and is a predicted model, not a curated record.